GAUUCUCAAGUGCAACCUGGCCGAGGGCCACAAAAAGUUUAGCUAAGGGAGGCUUCAGUGAGAAGCAGCACCCCCUUGGGGACACAGCCUGCACUGUGGAAAUGCCAACUCUCUCCCCUUGCCUGAGUGAAGAGCUGUUAGAUCCAGAAUUGCAUGUUCUCAUAACCCCCAGCCUGAGAGAGAAAACAGAGUCUGAGCUAAAGUUUGAGGAGGAUGAGCGAUGGAUUAUGAUGGAGGCUGAGGGAGAGUGGGAGGAAGAGAAACUGUCAGACAGGGAAAAGACUUUUCUGAUGGCAGAUGAGAAGAACAGCCUGGCAGAUAUUUUUGAAGAAAGAGAACAAGCAAACACAGCACUGGUGGAGGAUGGAUCCGAUUGCUUAGCUGCUGUCUUGAGGACUUUUGGCCAUCUAUCUCUUGGUCAGAUUUGUUGCCCUGAUGACCCACAGCCAGCCAAGGACAAGUUGGCUACUGUUCCCAAGGAUAUACCCCUGGAUUGCGAUUGUGUUCUUACAGGUGAGGAUAUUCUCGGUGAGGUGGCAAACAGAACUGCUCAGGGGUUAGAGGGACUUGUUUCAGAUUCAGCAUGUACUGUGGGUACUAUUGAUGCAGAACAGCUCUCUGACACAGACUCAGUGCAGAUGUUUCUUGAACUUGAAAAGAAGUGUUUAUGUGAAGAAGGAGUAACUCCUCUAGUUGAGCUACAGAAUCAAACCUCUUCUGAAGGGCUGGCUGCAUCCCAGGAUGCAGAAAAUUUAUUUGUAAUUAGUCAUUUUUCAGGGGCUGCCUUAGAAAAGGAACAGCAUUUAGGCCUUUUACAUGUAAGGGCAAAAGAUUAUGAUACUGGAUUGGAUUGUGGAUAUUUUAAUACCCUGGAUUCUUCUCAGGUGCCUAAUGCUGUGGAACUUGUUGCCCACGUUGAUAUCAUGAGAGACACUUCCACUGUUAGCAAGGAGGAAUGUGAAAAAGUGCCUUUUAGCCCCAGGAUUGCAGAAUUUAAGUCCAGACAGCCAGCUGAUCUGGAUUCACUGGAAAAGCUGGACCCAGGAGGACUGCUGAACUCUGAUCACAGGGCUUCUCAUGAAGAAAAAUUAUCAGGCUUCAUUGCUUCUGAGCUGGCCAAAGACAAUGGCAAUUUGUCCCAGGGAGACUGCAGUCAAACUGAGGGGAAUGGUGAGGAGUGCAUUGAGAGGGUCACCUUCAGUUUUGCUUUUAAUCAUGAACUAACAGAUGUUACCUCAGGACCUGAAGUAGAGGUGUUAUAUGAAUCAAAUUUACUAACAGAUGAAAUUCAUUUGGAAAGUGGGAAUGUAACUGUUAAUCAAGAAAAUAACAGUCUGACAUCAAUGGGAAAUGUGGUCGCUGGUGAAUUGUCGGUGGAGAAAGUUUGUGAUGAGGAUGGUGAGGCAAAAGAGCUGGAUUAUCAAGCCAUGCUUUUGAAGGAUCGAGCUCCAGCACAUUUCCACAGAAACUUCCCAGAGCAGGUCUUCCAGGAUCUCCAGAGGAAGUCCCCAGAGUCAGAGAUUCUGAGUCUGCACCUGCUGAUUGGAGAACUGAGACUUAAUCCAGAUGGAGUGGAAACUGUGAGUGAUACAAAGCCUGAGCUGAAUGUGGCAUCAUCAGAGGGACGGGAGAUGGAAAGGAGAGAUUCAGAUUCAUUCCUAAAUAUUUUUCCAGAGAAACAAGUUACCAAGGCUGGUAAUACUGAACCAGUUUUAGAGGAAUGGAUACCCAUCCUCCAGAGGCCUUCCCAGACUGCUGCAGUGCCCACUGUCAAAGAUGCCCUAGAUGCUGCACUGCCCAGCCCAGAGGAGGAUACCUCAAUUGCUGCAGUGCCUGCCCCAGAGGGAACUGCUGUAGUUGCUGCUAUAGUGCCCUUUUCACAUGAGGACAUCCUAGUUGCUUCAAUAGUCUCCUUAGAGGAGGAGGAUGUCACAGCUGCUGCAACAUCAGCCCCAGAGAGGGCUACUGUCCCAGCUGUUACAGUGUCUGUCCCUGAAGGGACUGCUGCAGUUGCUGCAGUGUCCUCCCCAGAGGAGACUGCUCCAGCUGUUGCAGCAGCCAUCACACAGGAGGGUAUGUCAGCUGUCGCAGGGUUCUCCCCAGAGUGGACUGCUCUAGCUAUUGCAGUACCCAUCACAGAGGAGGAUGGUACACCAGAAGGGCCUGUCACCCCAGCUACCACAGUGCAUGCUCCAGAGGAGCCUGAUACUGCAGCUGUUAGAGUGUCCACCCCAGAGGAGCCGGCCUCCCCAGCUGCUGCAGUGCCCACCCCAGAGGAGCCCACCUCCCCAGCUGCUGCAGUGCCCACCCCGGAGGAGCCCACCUCCCCAGCUGCUGCAGUGCCCACCCCAGAGGAGCCCACCUCCCCAGCUGCUGCAGUGCCCACCUCAGAGGAAUCUGCCUCCCUAUCUGCUGCAGUGCCCACCACAGAGGAAUCUGCUUCCCCAGCUACUGCAGUGCCCACCCCAGAGGAAUCUGCCUCCCCAUCUGCUGCAGUGCCCACCCCAGAGGAAUCUGCCUCCGCAGCUGCUGCAGUGCCCACCCCAGAGGAAUCUGCCUCUGCAGCUGCUGCAGUGCCCACCCCAGAGGAAUCUGCCUCCGCAGCUGCUGCAGUGCCCACCCCAGAGGAAUCUGCCUCCCCUGCAGCUACAGUGCCCACCCCAGCAGAAUCUGCCUCCUUUGCAGCUGUGGUGGCCACCCUGGAGGAACCCACUUCCCUGGCAGCUUCAGUGCCCACCUCUGAGGAGCCUGCCUCCCCAGCAGCUGCAGUGUCCAACUUAGAGGAGCCAGCCUCCCCAGCAGCAGCAGUGACCACCCUAGAGGAACCCACCUCCUCAGCAGCUGCAGUGCUCACCCUAGAGGAACUCACUUCCCCAGCAGCUUCAGUGCCCACCCCUGAGGAGCCUGCCUCCCCAGUAGCUGCAGUGUCCAACUUAGAGGAGCCAGCCUCCCCAGCAGCAGCAGUGCCCACCCCAGAGGUGGCUGCCAUCCCUGCUGCUUCAGUGCCCACCCCAGAGGUGCCUGCCAUCCCAGCUGCUGCAGUGCCUCCUAUGGAGGAAGUUUCCCCCAUUGGUGUGCCCUUCCUGGGAGUUUCUGCCCACACUGACUCAGUGCCUAUUUCAGAAGAAGGAACUCCUGUUCUAGAGGAGCCUUCCUCCACUGGAAUGUGGAUCAAGGAGGACCUUGAUUCCCUAGUAUUUGGCAUAAAAGAGGUGACCAGCACAGUGCUACAUGGGAAAGUGCCUCUGGCUGCAACCGCUGGAUUAAAUUCAGAUGAGGUAAUUGUUGUCCAUUUUGAUUCUGGGAAGGGUCUAAAGAGUAAAUUGAUAUUUGCAAGGCUGACCUGGUAGUGAUGAGAAAUGGCACAGAUAGUUCUUUUGUUCUUUUUGGGUCUCCUGGGCUUAUAGUUUGUAGUCUUUCUGUUGAGUUUUUGGGGAAAAUAUACUUUAAUUUUGUCUGGUGAAAAACUUUAUAAUUUCAUGCUUCGUUUUUAUUCAGAUAAGCCAAUCCCAAGGAAAACAGGGAUAUAAACAGUUGUUGAUUUACAUUUUUAAAAAGAUUAUUAGCAGGAAAGGGUGAUUCUGCUUUUGAAUUAUACAGUGAGCAUGUUCUUUCCUAAACCAAGAGACAGUUUAUUCAUUGGUGGUGUCAACAUUUAGGUAGAGGCCAGAGUGUGAGCUUUGGAAUGAGACCUGGGGUGCUUCCUAACCACUCUGGGAAAAUUAGUUAGCUAUUCUUGAAUUUCCUGUUUCUUCAUUUGUUAAGGCAUAACUCUGUGAGGAUAAAAUGAGAUACAUUUAAGGUACCAAGCGUAUAAGAUUACCAAUCACUGGCCAUAUCCUCCCCAUUCUUUUCAAAUAGGUAUGUUGGUUAGUUGAAAGAAUUUACCAAAGCAGAUUGGGGAGAAGCAAUAAAGCUAAAUGAUUAAGAACUUGUAAAUGCAAAUGUGUGUUUGUGAAAACCAGAGCUAGGCAUAAUGUUUAUGAAAAAUAGAGAUAUUUUAGUCAUCUUUGUCAAACUGCCUUUGUGUCCUUAAGCAAGUCACUUUCCUUUCCAGGACCUCUUGUUUCUUUAUUAUAAAACAUUGGGCUAAAUGUCCUCUUGGGUCUCUCUUGGCUCUAAGAUUCUUUUUUUUUUUUUUUUUUUUUUUUAGAUGGAGUCUGGCUCUGUCGCCCAGGCUGGAGUGCUAGAGUGCAGUGGUGCAAUCUCGGCUCACUGCAAGCUCCACCUCCCGGGUUCACGCUAUUCUCCUGCCUCAGCCUCCCGCGUAGCUGGGACUACAGGCGCCCACCACUAUGCCCGGCAAUUUUUUGUAUAUAUAUAUAUUUUUUUUUAGUAGAGACAGGUUUCACUGUGUUAGCCAGGAUGGUCUCGAUCUCCUGACCUCGUGAUCUGCCCGCCUCGGCCUCCCAGAGUGCUGGGAUUACAGGCGUGAGCCACCGCCCCUGGCUGGCUCUAAGAUUCUUCAUGUUAGAGAACCGAAUGUGUUAGGAAACAGUUGGAAACGAUGUUCCACAUCCUUGAGCACUCCUAGUCCAAGGAAUUUGAGAUCAGCAGCUUUCCACAGUUAAUUACCCAGGUUUGAUUUGGUCAGUGGUAAAGAGUGCAGGAGUUAGAGGUUUAAUCUGAACACAAGAGAUGACUGAGUGAGAAGAUUGUUUUGAUUUUACUGCAACCCUAGGACUCAAAAUAGUGCCUUCUUCAUAGCAGGCAUUUGCUGUUGACUGACUGACUGACUGAAUGCGUGAAUAUCAAUUUCCUAGAGUGUGGAUGGAUGCUACAAGAAAGAUGGGUUUUCUCAUUCACCUCAUUGCAGAUCCUUUCAGGGCAGCCUUAAGUCAGCUAGAGCACCAGUUAAACAUACAGGUCCUGACAACAAAAUCAUUUUGAUUGCCUGCCAUAAGCUCUUUGAUUAAGAGGAUUGAUUAAGAUAAUCUGGCCUUGCUGAGUGGUGGUGGUUUUACCUUGAGUUUUACCAUUUAUUUUGUCAGGUAGCAUUCCAUUAAAUUAGGAUGCAUCAUCUUUGAGACUGAUGGAUUUUUGAUUCAUUUUUCCAAGUUUUAUUGAAUUUGGAAUGACGCUGAGAUCCCAAUAGCCUGUACAAAGUGAAGACAGUAGGUCAACAACAGAGCCAUUCUUGAUAAUACAGAAUAUUUCACCAGGCACAGUGGCUCACACCUCUAAUCCCAACAUUUGGGAAGCCAAGGGAAGAGGAUUGCUUGAGGCCAGGAGUUCGAGAACAGCCUAGGCAACAUAGUAAGACCCCAUCUCUGAG
Molecule: small RNA, 5275 nt
Filed under: Pongo abelii (Sumatran orangutan)
Lineage: Eukaryota; Metazoa; Chordata; Mammalia; Primates; Hominidae
Description: retained intron
Source: RNAcentral